Molecule: ribosomal RNA, 459 nt
Filed under: uncultured bacterium
Lineage: Bacteria
Description: partial 16S ribosomal RNA
Rfam family: Bacterial small subunit ribosomal RNA
Source: RNAcentral
CCUACGGGAGGCAGCAGUGAGGAAUAUUGGUCAAUGGACGAGAGUCUGAACCAGCCAAGUAGCGUGAAGGAUGACUGCCCUAUGGGUUGUAAACUUCUUUUAUAUGGGAAUAAAAUGUUCCACGUGUGGGAUUUUGUAUGUACCAUAUGAAUAAGGAUCGGCUAACUCCGUGCCAGCAGCCGCGGUAAUACGGAGGAUCCGAGUGUUAUCCGGAUUUAUUGGGUUUAAAGGGUGCGCAGGCGGGUCAUUAAGCCGGCGGUGAAAUCGCGGGGCUCAACCCCGAAGAGCCGUCGGAACUGGGGGACUUGAGUGCGGCUGAGGUAGGCGGAAUGCGCGGUGUAGCGGUGAAAUGCAUAGAGAUCGCGCAGAACCCCGAUUGCGAAGGCAGCGUGCCGAGCUGCCACUGACGCUGAGGCACGAAAGCGUGGGGAUCGAACAGGAUUAGAUACCCGGGUAGUC